Long non-coding RNA from Melozone crissalis (California towhee), 1720 nucleotides. RefSeq lists it as uncharacterized. NCBI's taxonomy places the organism in Eukaryota, Metazoa, Chordata, Aves, Passeriformes, Passerellidae. The record is from RefSeq and is a predicted model, not a curated record. The transcript has 7 exons.
UGUCCCAGUCGCCGUCCCCCCUUCCCUUGGUGGCUCUCGCAGCCGGCUCCGCUCCCGGCUCGGCCGCUCUUCGCGGGAGCGCUCUGACAGCACCUGCAGGACAGCGCGGGCACUCGGAGCCGGGAAGGGGAAUAAGGUUUCCAUAAUGAAUCUGCUGUGGACCCUACUGCUGAUCCAGAAAGGGCAUCAAAGAGUGAUCAGCAGGCUUAGGCUGGAGGGAACUGAAACUUUCCUUUUGCCGCAGAACAUUCAGGUGGGGUGUAAGACAACGAGAAAAUAUGGAAACUGCUGAGGAGUAAUCCAGACAAGACUUGCAUGUUUUCUGCUCCAUUCUUUGGGUCAAGAACACACUGGUUAAUAGCCAAUUAUUUCAUGCCCUAAGGAAAUUUUGGCAAAGAAGUUCCUGGGAAGAGUCAACUUGUUUUGGGAAAUGAGACUAAUAUUCACUUUCCAAAUUCUGAAGCCGUCUGAAAUUUUCCUGGACUGCCUAAACCAGAAUGUGCAGUUCCAGCUAAGAUAUCUAAAGAUCCUGCAAGAUUAUGUUAUCCAUUAUGUGACCUUCUUACUUGACAUUCCUUUGUCAUUGUUCUGAAUGCAGGCACAAAGAGCUGAGGAAGGCUGGGAUGCAGAGGAGGGGAGAGGCCAGGAUUGUCACCCAGAGCUGCCAGAGCAGGUGUGCCUGGCCAGGUCUGGGCUCCCACACUGCAGCCAAGAUUCUCUGGCCUUCAGUCAAUGCACUGAGUGAUUAAAUUAUUAUCCCAGUAAUGAGAUUUGACACAAUCUAUGCCAGUUACCUGUGUGACCUGCUAAGUAGGUUAAUUGGCAACCCUGAAUAAUUAUCCCCCACCUCAUCUUGCUGACUGAGAGUCUGACAAAUAAAUGAAACAUAAAAAUGCUGAAAAUGACACACCAUUUUUAAUUUCAACUGCUGAAUUGUUUCAAAGAAACCUUUUACUUAGUAGCUUAUUAAUAAAAUUGAAAAAAUACCUUGUGAACAUACUGGUUUUAUUAUUAUGUAGAUGUUUGCUCCUGUGUAUAAGCAAAGCUUCCUAGAGGAAAAUGAACUCUGAGACAUGUUAGAUGAGCAGGUCUCUCUAUUCUACAAAUUACUAAUAUAAGUCAGUUGUUGCAUCCUCAGAGGCUACUCAAAAGUGAGGAAAAUUCAAGAAGUCAAAGUGAAAUUUGUGGUGACAUUACAAUAAUUAUGUUUUAAUGCUUUUCUGUGAAAUCUUGAGAAUUAUAAAUUAAUUUUAUUGUUUAAUGAAAGCUAUGAUCUUUCUAUUUCCAUUUCCCAGGAAAGAGAGUUAAGAAAAAUAAAUAUGGUACCUGGUGAUGCUGACUUGUGUAUCUAAUCUUUUCUGCUUUGUUCAUUUCUGAAAAGCCAGGAUGCUAUUUCUUUCUGCCCUAGAAAAUGUAACAUUGGAGCUUAGAGAGGAAAAAGAAUGAACUCCUACAGAUGAGAAGAUGGGUUAAAAAUUUAAACUUGUGGUCUUUUCAUGAUAUAAUCAGCUCAAAUUAAUGGUUCAGAGCCAGGGAUUUAGUAAGACUGCUUCCAAAAAGAAUUCCUCUGCCCUGGCCAGAAAUCUCACCAAAACUUAGGGUAGAGAGAACAAUCAAAGAAUGAAUUUCUUGUUAUCAGCAGUUAAUGACUGCAGCAUAAAGUAUCUUCAGAGAGGCACUGUGGAGAGGGGAGCUGCUCUGCCCUGUCCUGGGGCACUCC